Oncorhynchus keta (chum salmon) is the source of this 463-nucleotide long non-coding RNA. RefSeq lists it as uncharacterized. The record is from RefSeq and is a predicted model, not a curated record. The transcript has 3 exons. NCBI's taxonomy places the organism in Eukaryota, Metazoa, Chordata, Actinopteri, Salmoniformes, Salmonidae.
GUUGAUGAAGCGUGGGGAUACAGGUGAGAGAGACUGGCUUGUGGUUGAUGAAGUGUGGGGAUACAGGUGAGAGAGACUGGCUUGUGGUUGAUGAAGCAUGGGGAUACAGGUGAGAGAGACUGGCUUGUGGUUGAUGAAGCGUGGGGAUACAGGUGAGAGAGACUGGCUUGUGGUUGAUGAAGCAUGGGGAUACAGGUGAGAGAGACUGGCUUGUGGUUGAUGAAGCGUGGGGAUACAGGUGAGAGAGACUGGCUUGUGGUUGAUGAAGCGUGGGGAUACAGGUGAGAGAGACUGGCUUGUGGUUGAUGAAGCGUGGGGAUACAGGUGAGAGAGACUGGCUUGUGGUUGAUGAAGAAUGGGGAUACAGGUGAGAGAGACUGGCUUGUGGUUGAUGAAGCAUGGGGAUACAGGUGAGUGAGACUGGCUUGUGGUUGAUGAAGAAUGGGGAUACAGGUGAGAGAGA